Molecule: ribosomal RNA, 488 nt
Filed under: uncultured bacterium
Lineage: Bacteria
Description: bacterial SSU rRNA
Rfam family: Bacterial small subunit ribosomal RNA
Source: RNAcentral
AUUGAACGCUGGCGGCAUGCCUAACACAUGCAAGUCGAACGGAAACGAUGGGAGCUUGCUCCCAGGCGUCGAGUGGCGGACGGGUGAGUAACACUUGGGAAUCUGCCCAGUAGUGGGGGACAACAUUCGGAAACGGAUGCUAAUACCGCAUACGCCCUACGGGGGAAAGCGGGGGAUCUUCGGACCUCGCGCUAUUGGAUGAGCCUAAGUCGGAUUAGCUUGUUGGUGAGGUAAUGGCUCACCAAGGCGACGAUCCGUAGCUGGUCUGAGAGGACGAUCAGCCACACUGGGACUGAGACACGGCCCAGACUCCUACGGGAGGCAGCAGUGGGGAAUAUUGGACAAUGGGCGCAAGCCUGAUCCAGCAAUGCCGCGUGUGUGAAGAAGGCCUGCGGGUUGUAAAGCACUUUCAGUAGAGAAGAAAAGCCUAGGGUUAAUACCCCUGAGUCUUGACGUAACCUACAGAAGAAGCACCGGCUAACUCCGUG